This is a long non-coding RNA of Cercocebus atys (sooty mangabey), 5909 nucleotides long. RefSeq lists it as uncharacterized. The record is from RefSeq and is a predicted model, not a curated record. NCBI's taxonomy places the organism in Eukaryota, Metazoa, Chordata, Mammalia, Primates, Cercopithecidae. The transcript is spliced from 3 exons.
UCUGCCAGUCAUGCUCAUCACACUGUAGUUUGCACACACGUCACACAGAGACACUGUUAAUAUAUGCACAUUUGUGUGCUUGAGUGGGGUUGCACUCAAGAUUCUGUGAUUGUACGGAGCCCUGAGUUAUGCCCUGGACAUCUUUACUCUCGGGUUGGUCAACUUGGAUCACUGCACCGAACGAGAAAUGGAGCCUGAAAUCCAAUCAGCGAAUACACAAAAGGAAGGGGCCAUUUCCCACAAUCAUUUCCACUGCAACACCACCUUGCAUGGACAAGUCUCAUUGCAGGUCAGGGACUGUGCUUCAGAGAUGCACCUUUCGCAGCUGGACGAUUGACCCGGAAUCUCCCAAAUGCCAUUUUUAUACACACCAAAUGAGAUUUAUUUCAGUGCUUGCUGAUUUUAUUUUAGUUGAAUACACACACACUCCUGUGUUUGAUUUCCUUUAUUAUCAGUACGACUUACUUCCAAAUGACUCACAUACCAGUGGGAUGAUUUUCCACUUCAAUUCAUUGGAAAUGGACAGCAUUCAAUAGGCAAGUGUGUCUGUCUGUCUGUCUGCUUCCAGCAUUCUGUGGGUUCCACCAAGGGCACAAGUCCUAGGGCGCCUGAGGUCCGUUCAACAAGCAAUGUAAAAACGGCGAGGCAGGUUCAUAAGAAGAACACCCUUCCUCCCUUCAAAUGCGUUCCAGUUUCCACUACUCAAGGUGGCGAGAAUGAUCCACAGAUGUCCCACGUUUGCACAAUUUCAACUUCUGGUGCUCACCAACAACUAACGAAUGAAACACACCCCAAGAGAAAAUGGUCAACCCAGUCACCUGCAAUAACCUCACAUGCAACCCUACAGCGCAAUAUGUCGUAUUCAGAAAUUCACACUGAAUGUCAUCUACCAUGAACACAAACACACAGACAAUCCCUCCACAGGUUCAGAAGACUCACGACUCCAAGACUUGAUGUUUCCCAUGUCUGGGCUCAUCCUGAAACGCAGCCAUCACUAUCCAGUUGUCCCUCUUGUAUAGACAGAAACCUGGGCUCCUCAUUAUUUUAUGUAGGAUUGACUGUGUAUGCGAUGGUGUGUGUGUGUGUGCGCUCGUGCGAACCCGCUCGUGGGUGUGUGUGUGUACGUGUAUGUGUGUGUGAGUGUGUGCACGUGCACUCCUGCGUGUGGGUGGAGACUUUCCCUGAGAUCACUGGCACACAAACAGAGCCCUCUUGCUGUGUUUGUUCUUCCCUUUGGAUCUCCUGGUCCUCCCUUGCAGAGAAGUGAGUGUGCCAGUGUUCAUGGACUCCUGAUGUGUCACAUUUGCGUUAGUUUACUUAAAACAUUGCUAGGGAAUAAUUCUGUACUUACAAAACAGUGUGUGUGUGUUUGUGUGUGUGUGUUUGCUUGUGUGAGCUUGUGGGCAUGCACAAUCAUGCCCGUGUGAGUGUUUCUUUGUGUGUGUUUAUAUGUCUGGGUGUGUGUGUGUUUGAGCUGGGAUGUGCUUCCAACUAUGUGCUUUUGGCAGAUACGAUCAUCCUUUCAGGCAUUGAAGGACAGGAAGUCGGACCUGUACUUUCUGACUUGAGAAUCGUCAAUGAAGUACAGUUAAUAACACAGCGUAUUUGUUUCCUUAAUAUCAAAGAAGAGAUCCAUGCAGUCAAAUAGAUAUUCCAUCGAUAACCUUUCCAUGUUCAGCCUAUUGAUUCUGUAUCUGAGUGAAAUGACUUGCCAGUGGGAACAAGACAUGCCUUUGCAGGAAAUGCCCUUGUGGAAGCUAUAUACCCAAAUCAUAAAGCAUCAAGUGUUGGAAACAUGCACUGAAGUUAGACGAAAUACUCAGUGCACAAAUUAGACUGUGAAAGACUUUCAGGAAAUCAUGCAAUCACCGACAUACCAAAUGAUGACAUUCCCCGAAUUUAUGAUUGCAAGAAAAGAGAAAUACUCAUGACAUUCUAUUUCCAGUGACUGCGGACGUAUGACGGCAAUUUAAGAAAUCAUGAAAUCAGAAAACUUGAGUAAUCACAAUCUAUGCCAACUAAAACCUUUGGUUCAUUUAAGAAAGGAUGAAAAUAAAAACAACAUAUCACACAGCAUGGGAGAUAAUAUUUUAAUACCUAUGUGAUAAUGGAUCAACAUUUGAGAGAGAUGAAAUAAAAAGUUCUAAAUUUGAGAAUAGCAUAUAACCAGAAUUAAACACUGUAAAUGCCUGGGUGAUGGGAGUGAGUCCCUGUCUCAAGAAGAAACAUAGAGAUUUAAAAGCAGGGCGUCUAAAAGAGAUUUGCAUACCAUUGUUAAUACUGGCAGUUGUUUUAGUAAGAAAGGGAAAAAUAAACCAUUUGUCUUAGGGAUUCUUGCAUCUAUUUUUCAUCAUCUGAGAUGUUGCUUCCAGUUCCAGUUAAGCAUUGUGUGGUGGACUUGCUGUUACCACAUUUGGUGGAAAAUGUCAUGCUGAUGAAGGUAGACUUGUUUCCCAAACUAAGAGGGACAGAAUUUGGGUGUUUCUUUGGGACUUUUGGCUUACUAGGAAUAAAGAUCCUGGCUCUAGGGAUUUUCUUAAAAUUUUUCAGAUAAUGAGAAAGAGAAUAGAAUUUAGGCCAGGCGCCAAGGCCUCGAGGUGUACAGAAGCAUCCCCGGUCUCGGGGCCCAUGAAAUCAGGAUGAUUUUAGGGAGGAUGGUGGAAUGAGGGGAGCGUGACCUUUGGCCUCCUUUCUUUCCCUUUUCUUUUCAUGGAUCAGGUGUGCUCUAUCAGAAGGCUUCCCCUUUCUGUUAGACAGAGUUCUGGAAGAAGAAAUGAACACUGCUGAGAAAGAUGUUCCACAAGGAGGAAGGAGUCACCGUUUUCAGGAGCAUGAUCCCCAGAAGCAUGAGCAAUCCAGAUGCCAUGGCUUUACACAGGAUGCUGGAGUUUCUUUCCUCUGGAUCCAGGACCUUGGCAUCGGUGUUCUGUAAUGCCCAUAACUGAAUUUGAGGUAAGAUCGGAUGGAGAGCAGAACUACCUGAGACACUUUUGAGGGACAGGCAUGUAGGAACUGCUGCAAUUUGAGGUCAGAACAAGAUGAAGAUAAUUUAUUAGUUCAGGAAGAAUCUGCAUUCUGAAUAUGAAUAGAAGUUCACACUACAGAUGGGCAGACACAUGCCCUCCCAAUUCCUGAUGGACCUCCUAGUGCCUCCUAGACCUAAGGGGUCUCCUGCAAUUUUCCAAGAUGCCACCAAGGCAGGGAUCCACUUGUGCAUGCCUGAGAGCAUUCAGGAUGAAGUGAGGCUCUGGAAAAAUGCAUGAGUUUCCACAUAAUCCCCAAAAACCUUACAGGUGAACUGGAUGCCACAGAAACAGGAGUGGUCAUUGACAUAACAAAGUCACCAAAAUUGUUUUGAAGUCAAUUAGGAAACCCAGGAAUCACUCUUGCUGCCAUUAAGUGGAAGAACAGGAGCCUGUGAAUGGCAUCCAUGUCCUGCCUGAGACUCCACAGAUAUUUCUACGUGGCUUCAGGUACCAGGAAUCUCCGUGAUUUUCAGAAAGGCAGGGACAGCUUAUGCCAGCCCAUCCCUCUGCAGAAUGUGCCCCAGCGGAUCAGAGGCAUGGAACCAUCAUGGACUGCACAAAGGCUCAAGGGCAGCUUCCCAGACCUGCCUGUGACUCUAGGUAAGUUCUGAGUCCAUGGGGUGCCCAGGAGAGGUUAAUGAUGACCUGGAAAGAUGGGACAAGCAGACACCACCCCUAAACAAUCUGCAGGAUUCCAACUUCAGCAGGAAGCCAAGGACCAGCUCAUGCCACACUAGUGCACCUUGAAAACCCCUGGAUGCAAUGCCGCUCUGCAGAGAGUUCAACAGAGAAGUGGCUGGGAAUUUUGCAUUCUAGGCUGCAUUUUACAGUGCUUUUGGACACGUGAUCAGAAAUUUAACAUUGGUAUAUCUAACUCUGACAUUUUUCACGACAUGGUUUUUAAAAAUGAGGUAAUAUAGACAAAAUGUAAUAUGACCAUAUGUAUUAUAUGCCAAAAUAUGCUUCACUGGCAUCAAGUAGACUCACCUUGAAAUCGAAUCUAGGACAACCUCCAUCUUCAGAAUAUUUUCUUUUCCAGAGUGAAACUCUCCCACCAAAAACCAACAAAAUCAUAGGUUUUCGACUCCAACAAACUGACAGAAAACCAUUAUAUUUAUUCUACCACCGUGAAAUGGACUGCGGUGAAACACAGAUGAAGAAAGUCAAAACCACUUUGUUCUUCAGUGUCUGGCUCCUUCUCCACCUCCUCCUGUGACUCCAGGCAUUAUGCCUGAAGAGUCUCCAGGACACCAGUGGGGCUCUAUUUCCUUGGGUCCCCUUGUCAUUUCUCUGGAUUUGCGAAGAUCCAGUGGACUUUCUGUGGAACUCUCAUGUCGGGGAACUUUGGUUGCAUCUGCUGAAACUCCAUUCCCCUUGGAAUUGCGCUUCAUUAAUUAUUCAUGAUUCAGGUGGGAACACCUGCUUAAAACCCCCUGUGGCAGUUCUCUGAGCUUUCCGGUCACAUCAUUUCCUGCCACGCUCUUUGGUUCAUUUUGGUCAUGCUCCUUUUGCUGUCAGAGGAGCAGAGAGUUGAUCUUGUUGAUUCUGGAUACUGAUACUUUCUAGGUGGUCUGGAUAAUCAAGGUAACGACCCUGAACCGUGGCGGAAAGGGAACAGCCAUUUGGCGUCGCUCAGACAAUCCCGCUCAGAUCGGAGGCCUCCUAGAUGUGGAAUCCUGGUCAGAAUUGUUCCCGGGUCAGAGAACGGAGAUAGCCUGUGCAUGAUGGGAUACCUUUACCUAGAGCUUUCAGUGAGUCUCCACCUCAGCUACUCUUAGGAUCAGGGGGAGAAGCAUGGAAAGGCCCGGUGCUCAGGCAUCCGGAAAGAAGACGAGAUGAAUAUUCUACCUCUGAAGUACAUCCCAAAUCUGGGAGUUUACUUCAGCUUUACUGGGUUCUACUUGGCGAAUGAAACUGUGCCUCAUUCAUACGCACAUCCGGAAACCACUUCAUGGGGGCCGUCACAGUUUGAACCCCACACGUGGCAUCACGGUGAGCCAAAUGGGGACUCGUGGUGCAAGUGACGCUCCCCACGUGUUAGCGUGCGUGAGAUUCACUUGGCGGAAUAUGACUAGGUGCGUGUUGGUAGAGUGGGGUUGAGGUUCUCUAGCCCCUGUGGAUGUUUAAGAAGUCAAAGGUCCUGCCAAGUCCUGCGGUCCCCUCAAUGAACUCUGUUUCGGAAACAUAAUGACUUGGAUUGCUAACAAGUCAAGAAAUUUUCAAGCCCUUGGAAAAUCAGUUACACACAAACACGGAGUGAAAGUCAAAAGAGAGUACGUCAUCUUUUUGAGAAUUUUAUUCACUUCAAAACAAAUUAAACACACCUAUUUCCAAUGGCAUUCCACUGCCCAAUUUUCGAGGCUGAGGAAACACCCCAAGAACGCUUUGCACAGAAAGCUUCACAGCGUCCAAAACACUGCUGUCAGGGCGGGGCACAGCUGAAGGCCUGCAUCUCUCAGGGUUCCCUAACUGUUCCCUGAUUCAGUCAUCUAGAGAGCAAAUGCACAGUCAUUCCCCAGUUUCCUACUGACAUCACAGCGGAAGUCUGACUGCUGCAGGUCACCCAGUUUCUGAGGCAACGAAUCACUGGCACAGAAGCUUCUCGUGGUGGGUUUCCAGAGAGCCCUGUGAACUACAAUGUACCUCACCAGAAUUCAAUGAGGCAGAGUCUCUGCAUGUGGUCUCUGCCUGGCCUGGGCUCCAACAUCCACAGAAGCACCACAGCUGGGGAGCUUGGGAGUCACCACGCACAGUCUGCUCUCUGCUCUGUGCUCCUCAGUCCCACGGUCCCGUCCAAGCCAUGGGAGCUGGAAGGCACGGAGCCCCUGCCACCUGCAGUCUCACUCCAGGUCAGAAUCGCUGUCCUCUGAGGAGGAGGAAACC